UGUGUGCAUGUGUGGGGUCCUGCGUGGAUGUGUCGCCUGUCCACCUGUCUCCAUGGAGGAGAUCUGACACUUCUUGCAGCUUCUCAUGUGCUUGAAGACCAACAGCUGCCUUCCUGGCCCUUCACUCCCCAUGGAAACGGCAAGUAAAAAGACUGCAGCUGCUGCUCUUAAGACGAUGAGUGAAAAAAUACAAGAGACAAUUCAAGUUGCCUGACGAUGACGCCAGACACCCUGGACUCUGCCAUUGGACAGCUCACCACCACGUGACCAAAGCAGCCUCUGGGUUGGACCAGAAAUACGCGUUUGGAGUUGCUGGAUCUUCUGCAGGCUCACUACCGUGCGGAUUUGGACCUCAGGAUCAGAAAGGGCAACGUACUUCCUGCCACUCAGGAGCAAUAAUCCAAUGGACGAUUAUGGACUGGCAUUUUGGAGCAAUGUGAAGCAGAGAACGGCCUACAAAAAACACACACAGCUACGACAUUGAUUUGGUUGCAGAAGCCCAGGAUGAGGCACUAGAAGAAGCAUGGGAGCAAGAAUGCUACCCAGUGUUCUUCAUGGAACUCUCCACCAACCUCUCACUCCUGCUGUCUCGUCUCCCAAUAUGAUGGAUUAUUUCCCUCGGUCUCAUUGUGAGGCCUUCAUUGAUCCACAUAUCUAAUCAGACUUGGCCAAUUUUAUUCCUGUUCAAGCCCAGACCAUCAUCACCACAUUCCAACAUGGUCCAAGGUCCCGUUAGUGGCCGUCUUAUGUAAAGGAUACAUUUACUUUUACUCAGUUGGAAUCUCACAGCACACCACCGUGGUAUUUUAGUUCAAAAACUGUCCAUGAACAUUACAGCGAAUCUGCAGCUCCUCUUCUUGAGCACAGCGUGCAAAAAAACCCACAACAGCAUAUUUGUGUGGGUAUUUCGAGUAAUGUUGCAUGCUUAAAUCAUUGGGAUAGUUGUUCUAUUUAGUGUCACUUUAUGCUUCUUUUCUGUAUUAUGCACUGUAAUUAGUAACACUAUUGAAUGUGGAUUGAGCAGGAUAAUGCUCACAUUGAAUGUUGUAAAUUAUUUUGUCAAAUGCAACAAUCCUUUGAUACUGGUCUUGGUUGUUAAUUUCUGUACAUGCCUAAUGAAUGCAAUCCCUGAUAAUGACUUUUACUUCCAUCACUAUUCCACUGUGAAAUAUUGGCAGGUUUCAUCCUGAAAAGGUAACAACUUUACGAUUAGCAAUGCUUCGACAAACCUCUUCACAAUUGUGCAUUCAGGUUGCACAGUCCAGCAACAGAAAGCGUCUCCCUUGCUGCCCCCCACCCCCCAAGUUCCCCGCCAUUAAUCAUGGAGCCUUUCUAACACUCCGACCACGAGUUCUAAACCCACUGGGCACCAUGACAGGAAUCCUCGCCUCCUACUUCCCGAGCCUCGCCAAUACAAAAGCCAAAUUGAGGUGCUGCAAGUCAGGGCUGGCCUCCCUCUCUUGAGGAGUGGGGGGGCAUGUUAGCUUUCCGAAGCCACAACAAUCCAGAGUGUCAGGCGCUAAUGACAGCAUAUUUUGCAAAAGAAACAAUGAGGAUUUUAUUACUGGCACCCGUUGGGCUUUUUCGGUAUGCGAUUAAAAAACAACAGAAACA
Nerophis ophidion (straightnose pipefish) is the source of this 1614-nucleotide long non-coding RNA. RefSeq lists it as uncharacterized. Lineage: Eukaryota; Metazoa; Chordata; Actinopteri; Syngnathiformes; Syngnathidae. The transcript has 4 exons. The record is from RefSeq and is a predicted model, not a curated record.